GUAGGGGGGGCAAGCGUUGUCCGGAAUUAUUGGGCGUAAAGCGCGCGCAGGGCGGCCUGUUAAGUCGGGGUGUGAAAGACCACGGGCUCAACCGUGGGGGUGCAUCCGAAACUGGCGGGCUUGAGUGCAGGAGAGGGGAGCGGAAUUCCCGGUGUAGCGGUGGAAUGCGUAGAGAUCGGGAGGAACACCAGUGGCGAAGGCGGCUCUCUGGCCUGUAACUGACGCUGAGGCGCGAAAGCGUGGGGAGCGAACAGGAUUAGAUACCCUGGUAGUCCACGCCGUAAACGAUGAGUGCUAGGUGUUGGGGGUAUCACGCCCUCUGUGCCGAAGGUAACCCAAUAAGCACUCCGCCUGGGGAGUACGGCCGCAAGGCUG
This 375-nucleotide ribosomal RNA is filed under the name uncultured organism. Its description in RNAcentral is "partial 16S ribosomal RNA". It matches the Rfam family "Bacterial small subunit ribosomal RNA", at positions 525 to 896 of the family's 1533-position model. The record is from RNAcentral.